RNAcentral lists this ribosomal RNA (524 nucleotides) under Lachnopus kofresi. RNAcentral describes it as "partial 12S ribosomal RNA". Lineage: Eukaryota; Metazoa; Arthropoda; Insecta; Coleoptera; Curculionidae. The record is from RNAcentral.
GUUACACUUAUAAUGCAAUAAAAAAUUUUUGGUUAUAAUUAAUAAUAACAUUAAAUGGAUUAAUUAUUAAUUUUAUUAAGUGAAAUUUUUAAAAUUAAGAUAAGUCUAGAUGUAGUUUAUGAGGUUAAUAAAUUUAGAUUUAAAACUAGGAUUAGAUACCCUAUUAUUCUAAACGGUAUAUGAAUUUCCAGGUUAGUAGUAGUUAUGGUCUUGAAAAUUAAAGAAGUUGGCGGUACUUUAGUCUAUUCAGAGGAACCUGUCCUAUAAUCGAUGAUCCACGAUUUUUAUUACUUAUUUUAUUAGUUUAUAUAUCGCCGUAGAUUGAAUAUUUUUAAAAAAAAGGAAUGUUCAUAAUUUUUUAUGAGAAAGGAAUUCAGGUCAAGGUGUAGCUUAUAGAUAAGGAGAGAUGGGUUACAAUAAAUUUUUUUAUAUGGAUUAAUUUAUGAAAUUUUAUUAUGAAAAUGGAUUUGAAGGUAAUUUUAUUUAAAUAUAUAAAAUGAUUUUAGCUCUAAAGUAUGUACAUA